Molecule: long non-coding RNA, 2852 nt
Organism: Brassica rapa (field mustard)
Lineage: Eukaryota; Viridiplantae; Streptophyta; Magnoliopsida; Brassicales; Brassicaceae
Source: RefSeq, a predicted model, not a curated record
AAUAAGGUCUUUAAGAAAAUGGUUGCGUGGUUUAUUUUCUUGUAAUGAUCAAGCUCUUGUUGAUUAUUAAAGGAAUGUCCGAUAUAAGUUAUCUAUUUUAUUGGUUAUUUUGCAAUAACUAUUGACGUUGAUGCACCCAUCGUAAACGACUUUAGAGCAUGAUUAACCCAAAAAAACCCAUCUACUCUAUUAAAAUAGAGUCUUACUUUUUAUCUACUAUAGAAAAGUUGUCAUUAAGUUUUGGACCUAUUCUAAUUGAGUUUUAUUAAUCUAAAUAUAAAUAUACUCAACUCUAUUAAUUUGGCAAAUCAUUAUCUGUUAUUAAUGUUGCCAAUAUUUCAUCAUCAAAAUCGUUCCUAAAUUAACCAAAUUACAAAUAAUAGAUAUUGUAGGCAUAAAUAAUAAAUAGAAUUAUUAUAAGAAUUGCAAGAUUGUAGGGAUAUUCCAGUUUUUUAGAAAGCGUUUUGCUGUGCACAAAAGUAUGUUAAAAAUGGUAGGUUUUAAUUUGAGUUGCCAACUGGAUUUAAAUUUUAUUCGUUUUAGUAAGUUUACUCACUGAGAUAUGCAGCGUUGAAGAAUUAAUAUACUGUAUACAUUUUCCUAAAAUUGUCUACACAUGAGAUCAACUAUUACAGUCAAAUCGAUCCAGUAAAAAUACUAUCAUACGUGAUAUUAACUUAAUGAUACAGACAAACUUAUAUUUUAUCUUUUUAUUUUUUUCUAUAUAUUAAUUACAAGUUUUCAGUUUUUAUAUAUUUUCUACAUUCAAGAAACCUACAUAAUUGACUAAGUUGAUGUCCACUCGAAAUGAUACAUGACAUGUUAAAUAAAUUAAUCAUUAUGUUAGAUUAUCAUUUAGUUACAUUUAUAUAAUUUGUAAUCUAAUUAUAUAAUUAUAAGAAACAUAUAUAUAUAUAUAUAUAUUAUUUAUAAAAAAGUAUUACAAAUCAAUACAAUACAUACUAAUCUUACAAUGAGUGUAUUAUUUAAAUCAAAAUUAUAAUAUUUAUUAAAUUAUGAUUAUCCAUUGUAACACGGAUUAGAACAUAAUUUUAUUGUUAUGAUAAAUAUGUUCUUACAGUUUGUAUAAUAAAUUACUUUUCACAAGCCCUAACAAUGAAUAUAUUUGGCUUCUAAAAAUAAAGCUUUAUUUCAUGUUUACAAAUAUAAGAACGGGAGGAUAAAUCUCUCCAUCUAUAAUAAAUCGAAAAUGACAUUUUUAAAAGAGAAUACAUGUAUAACACAUCAAGUUCUCUUCAAAGUCAAAAAUGUAGUCCAUCUAAGAAAACAUUAAGUAUGUGUAAAAUUAUAUAUUAGAUUAUUUUUGUAUAAAUAAAAAUAGUAAUCCCGCGCAUAAAAGCGCGGGUUAGAAUCUAGUUAUCUAUUCUAUUAGGGUUUCUUAAUGUUUAUUUAAGUAAUUAAAUGUACUUAAGAACUCUAGUUAAGAAAUUUUUAGAUUUUAUGCUCUAAUGAUAGUUUCUUAAUAGAUAACUUGGAGAUAAGCCUCUUCCUCUAGUGAGCUUGAAGAAGUUAAUAGAUAAGGGAGUAAGGAACAAGUUGAGUUUGAUAAGGGGUAAAGGUGUGAAGAACAUGGAGGGGAUUCUUCAAUUUUGGUUUGAAACAAGAAUGUGAAUAUUUUAUAGUUUAAGUGAUGCUUUGAUGUAAAAAGGUCACACUUGAUGUACAAAGGCUUUUUGAUGAAUAAGAAUUUAACAUUCAUUCAAAAAAAAAAAAAAAGAUAGUUUCUUAAUAAAUCGUUCUUAAAAAAAAUAUUAAACAUUGUUUUAUUAAAGAUAAAAUUUAUUUAUUAAAUAAAACAUAUUAAAAGAUAACAUUUUCAACAUAGAUUUUAAAAUAAAAAAAUUAAAACAAAGAUUAAUAAAAUAAACGAGAAUAAUUUGAAAGAAGCAUCCGAGCUGAGUUGUUGUCUUUAUCACGUCCAAAUUUAAUCCAUAUAUGUUCAACCAAAUCAACUUUCAGUUGUCGAUGCAUUUGUCUAUCAUGAAUUCUAGUUCGAAUACCCAUCAUAUUGACGAUAUUUAUAAGAAUAUCUGUAGAAUACGUAAUAUCCACAUGUGAACUUCCGUUGUCUUCUCCUUGUUGGAAUUCGGAAAUUUGAGAUCAAAUUGAGUGUAUCCAUCUUAUUCAUCUUCUACUAUCAUAUUACUAUCAUAUUAUGGAGUAUGAUACAUGCUCUCAUAAUCUUCCCAAUUUUGACUUUAUCUUGUUUGGGCAGGUUUUCUUUUUCUUCUUAAAUUCAUCUUCUUGUUUAAUGUUCGUCUGUUUUGGCUUAUUAAAUUUUUGGUUUUAGGCAAAAGGAAGAACCGAAAACGCGAGGUGAAAACUGAUGAACUAGUCCACACUCUGAAGAAACUGUCCCAAACAAAACGACCAGGGAAUAGAAGUGGAGAUAAGGAGGCUAGAAGGGAAAGACAAAAAGAGAAAGGAGCAAAGAUCGUUGAAGAAGCAAAGAAACAACUUGAAGAAGCAAAGAAACAACAAGUGACUCUUUUAGUAGUUGGACAAGAGAAGAAACCUCCUGUAUGGAGGCUACUGAAGAGAUGGGCUUGGAAGAGACGCCGUGGACAUGCCGGUGUUCUCAAAUACUGUCUUGAAAACGCUUCUUGCAUGACCAUAGCUGUUAAACUAAAGAAGCGCAAGCAUGGUGGUUACUUAAUCACCACCAAACGCCACAAAAACUUCUGGCUUCUCGCUUAAGAACACCAACCUGCAAGCUUUUCAUCCUUUAUUUUGUAUUUGUAUCAUCAAAAUCUUUGAAAUAAAAUUCUCAUUCUUCAAUGGAUUAUUGAAAUAACAAAUGUAUUUGCACAAGAAUUAUCAACAAUUUUCCC